This 710-nucleotide ribosomal RNA is filed under the name uncultured bacterium. Its description in RNAcentral is "bacterial SSU rRNA". It matches the Rfam family "Bacterial small subunit ribosomal RNA", at positions 79 to 786 of the family's 1533-position model. The record is from RNAcentral.
CUUGCUUCUCUUGAGAGCGGCGGACGGGUGAGUAAUGCCUAGGAAUCUGCCUGGUAGUGGGGGAUAACGUCCGGAAACGGACGCUAAUACCGCAUACGUCCUACGGGAGAAAGCAGGGGACCUUCGGGCCUUGCGCUAUCAGAUGAGCCUAGGUCGGAUUAGCUAGUUGGUGGGGUAAUGGCUCACCAAGGCGACGAUCCGUAACUGGUCUGAGAGGAUGAUCAGUCACACUGGAACUGAGACACGGUCCAGACUCCUACGGGAGGCAGCAGUGGGGAAUAUUGGACAAUGGGCGAAAGCCUGAUCCAGCCAUGCCGCGUGUGUGAAGAAGGUCUUCGGAUUGUAAAGCACUUUAAGUUGGGAGGAAGGGCAGUAAAUUAAUACUUUGCUGUUUUGACGUUACCGACAGAAUAAGCACCGGCUAACUCUGUGCCAGCAGCCGCGGUAAUACAGAGGGUGCAAGCGUUAAUCGGAAUUACUGGGCGUAAAGCGCGCGUAGGUGGUUCGUUAAGUUGGAUGUGAAAUCCCCGGGCUCAACCUGGGAACUGCAUUCAAAACUGACGAGCUAGAGUAUGGUAGAGGGUGGUGGAAUUUCCUGUGUAGCGGUGAAAUGCGUAGAUAUAGGAAGGAACACCAGUGGCGAAGGCGACCACCUGGACUGAUACUGACACUGAGUGCGAAAGCGUGGGGAGCAAACAGGAUUAGAUACC